Molecule: ribosomal RNA, 251 nt
Filed under: uncultured prokaryote
Description: partial 16S rRNA
Rfam family: Bacterial small subunit ribosomal RNA
Source: RNAcentral
ACGGAGGAUGCGAGCGUUAUCCGGAUUUAUUGGGUUUAAAGGGUGCGUAGGCGGCCUGUUAAGUCAGCGGUGAAAUCUAGGAGCUUAACUCCUAAAUUGCCAUUGAUACUGGCGGGCUUGAGUGUAGAUGAGGUAGGCGGAAUGCGUGGUGUAGCGGUGGAAUGCAUAGAUAUCACGCAGAACUCCGAUUGCGAAGGCAGCUUACUAAGGUACAACUGACGCUGAAGCACGAAAGCGUGGGUAUCAAACAG